Molecule: long non-coding RNA, 269 nt
Organism: Daphnia carinata
Lineage: Eukaryota; Metazoa; Arthropoda; Branchiopoda; Diplostraca; Daphniidae
Exons: 3
Source: RefSeq, a predicted model, not a curated record
AUAGGUAAAUCUGAAAACGGGGUGAACAUCGGAAACAGCUACUCCCAUAUUUCCAUUCAGGACCGUUAGUUGCAGGGUUUUCUCUACUGAGCACUAGGCGUUGGAUCAAUUCAUUUCCGGUAUUCGUGGCGCUCAAAAUGGCACGAGUUCCGCAUAAAACAUGGAUUAGAAUUUUAGCGGGGGAUCAAGUCAAGUCUGGAAGUGUUACAGGAUGGAAGAGUAAGCCUACAGUUGAAAAAACACUGAAAUUGCAUUACCAUUAAGAUAUG